UCCGCAGUAGCUCAACGGUAGAGCAUCCGGCUGUUAACCGGAGGGCUGCAGGUUCGAGUCCUGCCUGCGGAGCCA
This 75-nucleotide transfer RNA is filed under the name Brockia lithotrophica. RNAcentral describes it as "tRNA-Asn". It matches the Rfam family "tRNA". Rfam says of the family: Transfer RNA (tRNA) molecules are approximately 80 nucleotides in length. Their secondary structure includes four short double-helical elements and three loops (D, anti-codon, and T loops). The record is from RNAcentral. Lineage: Bacteria; Bacillati; Bacillota; Bacilli; Thermicanales; Thermicanaceae.